GGGCAUGUAGCUCAGUUGGUUAGAGCGUCACACUGAUAAUGUGAAGGUCCCAGGUCCGAAUCCUGGCAUGCCCA
Molecule: transfer RNA, 74 nt
Filed under: Candidatus Curtissbacteria bacterium RBG_13_40_7
Lineage: Bacteria; Candidatus Curtissiibacteriota
Description: tRNA-Ile
Rfam family: tRNA
About the family: Transfer RNA (tRNA) molecules are approximately 80 nucleotides in length. Their secondary structure includes four short double-helical elements and three loops (D, anti-codon, and T loops). Further hydrogen bonds mediate the characteristic L-shaped molecular structure. tRNAs have two regions of fundamental functional importance: the anti-codon, which is responsible for specific mRNA codon recognition, and the 3' end, to which the tRNAs corresponding amino acid is attached (by aminoacyl-tRNA synthetases). tRNAs cope with the degeneracy of the genetic code in two manners: having more than one tRNA (with a specific anti-codon) for a particular amino acid; and 'wobble' base-pairing, i.e. permitting non-standard base-pairing at the 3rd anti-codon position.
Source: RNAcentral